UACGAAGGGGGCAAGCGUUGUUCGGAAUUAUUGGGCGUAAAGGGCGCGUAGGCGGCCUGCUAAGUCGAACGUGAAAUCCCUGGGCUCAACCCAGGAACUGCGUCCGAUACUGGUUGGCUUGAAUCCGGGAGAGGGAUGUGGAAUUCCAGGUGUAGCGGUGAAAUGCGUAGAUAUCUGGAGGAACACCGGUGGCGAAGGCGACAUCCUGGACCGGUAUUGACGCUGAGGCGCGAAAGCCAGGGGAGCAAACGGG
Molecule: ribosomal RNA, 253 nt
Filed under: uncultured bacterium
Lineage: Bacteria
Description: partial 16S ribosomal RNA
Rfam family: Bacterial small subunit ribosomal RNA
Source: RNAcentral